AUCACCUGGAAGUCUUGUUAAAAGGCAGAUCCUGGUUCAGUGGGCCUUGAAUGGGGGCUUAUGUGGGGCUUGAGAUUCUGCAUUUCUAACAAAUUCCUAAGUGAUGUUAA
RNAcentral lists this microRNA precursor (110 nucleotides) under Camelus bactrianus (Bactrian camel). RNAcentral's name for it is "mir-544 microRNA precursor family". It matches the Rfam family "mir-544 microRNA precursor family". RNAcentral also lists the same sequence under 2 other names. Lineage: Eukaryota; Metazoa; Chordata; Mammalia; Artiodactyla; Camelidae. The record is from Rfam by way of RNAcentral.